UCAUUUGGUAGACCCAAAAAAGAAAAAAGAAGAAGAAGAAAGGAGUAAGCCCUUAGUCCUACAAGAAAAAAAACUGCGAUCUACGAAGAUCCAACGGUCGAAUCCUCAAUCCGUUUUCGGAAACGUUAUCAUUGCACUCGGAUCUACGUUCUUACCGAUUGUUUUAAGAUAUUUGGGCUUAUUGGAGCUUACUUGAGGCUACCCAAACUUUGGGUUGAAGUUUGGUGAAUUUGGGCGGCACUUUGUGGAUUGAACCUAGGACUGGUUAGUGUUGGUGUGCAAGCAGUCAGUUUAGCAGAUGAUAGACCUCGUGAGGCGUCAGAUUCUGUUGAAUGACAUAAUCAGGAUUAAUUUUGAGGAGCUGGAUUCUGAGUGGCCGAAGGAUAUGUGGGACGGUGAUGGAGAUGAGUUACUCACUACAUUCUGAUCAAGAUUAUCUAUUUAGUUUAUCUUUUUAGGACUAAGCCUUGAAACUUGACGUUUAUAUGACUCUUAGAUUUUGUUUUGUAAUAUUCCUGUUAUGUUUUGAUGACUGGUCUUUAACUGUAACAUUUGUAGAUUUUGUUAUCUAUGUUAUGAUGUU
This is a long non-coding RNA of Alnus glutinosa, 583 nucleotides long. RefSeq lists it as uncharacterized. The record is from RefSeq and is a predicted model, not a curated record. The transcript is spliced from 4 exons. Lineage: Eukaryota; Viridiplantae; Streptophyta; Magnoliopsida; Fagales; Betulaceae.